CUACGGGGCGCAGCAGUUAGGAAUAGUACGCAAUGGGCGAAAGCCUGACGUCGUGACGCCGCGUGGAGGAGGACAGCUUUCGGGCCGUAAACUCCUUUUCUGUGGGAAGAUUAUGACUGUACCACAGGAAUAAGUAUCGGCUAAUUACGUGCCAGAAGCCUCGGUAAUACGUAAGAUACGAGCGUUAUCCGGAAUCAUUGGGCGUAAAGAGCGCGUAGGCGGUUUUUUAAGUCCGGCUUUAAAGAUCACGGCUCAACCGUGAGAGUGGGUCGGAUACUGGGAAACUUGAGUAUUAGCAGGGGCAAGCGGAAUCUGCGGUGUAGGGGUAAAAUCCAUUGAUAUCGCAGAGAACACCAAAGGCGAAGGCAGCUUGCUAGGCAAUCACUGACGCUGAGGCGCGAAAGCGUGGGUAGCAAACGGGAUUAGAUACCCUAGUAGUC
RNAcentral lists this ribosomal RNA (440 nucleotides) under uncultured bacterium. RNAcentral describes it as "partial 16S ribosomal RNA". It matches the Rfam family "Bacterial small subunit ribosomal RNA", at positions 339 to 795 of the family's 1533-position model. The record is from RNAcentral.